UACAGAGGUCUCAAGCGUUGUUCGGAUUCAUUGGGCGUAAAGGGUGCGUAGGCGGCGCGGUAAGUCGGGUGUGAAAUCUCGGAGCUUAACUCCGAAACUGCAUUCGAUACUGCCGUGCUUGAGGACUGGAGAGGAGACUGGAAUUUACGGUGUAGCGGUGAAAUGCGUAGAUAUCGUAAGGAAGACCAGUGGCGAAGGCGGGUCUCUGGACAGUUCCUGACGCUGAGGCACGAAAGCUAGGGGAGCAAACAGG
RNAcentral lists this ribosomal RNA (253 nucleotides) under uncultured bacterium. Its description in RNAcentral is "partial 16S ribosomal RNA". It matches the Rfam family "Bacterial small subunit ribosomal RNA", at positions 524 to 776 of the family's 1533-position model. The record is from RNAcentral.